AUGAUAAAGGACAUACAUAUAAAUACAGCCUAUCAUGUUUCUUUUAUUUCUAGGAUAAUUUUUUAUCAUCCUGAAGACCUGAUGCAGAGAAAAAUAAAGCCUGUUACAUUCAGCAAGGGGAACAGAGCAGCUAGAUGUUUUUUUCUUCAGUAUUUCAUCACCCGAAGAUGAGAAACAGAGUAAUAUAAAAGCAGAAAUUCUUGGAUGGAGUUUCUGGGAUCCUAUUUUAUGAUGAAGACGGCUGGGUUUCCUGACCCCAUAUUGAGCAAUGAGAGACGCUUGAUCGUGGAGGCCUAAUGCUAAGGCUGCUAAAGCAGCCAGAGCCUAGGUUCCUGGUGACCGUGAAACUGCCACUUCAGACCUGAACUGCCUACCUCUAGACUUCUUCAACUUUAGUAGGUCACUGCUGUUUCCAGUCUCUCAACCUGAAGCUAAACACAAUUCCUAACUUAUCUAAGAUAUAUAAUCUUGAGCCUUAGUAAGUACAAUAUGAUUAUAGUUCAGUCAUAAAAUGCUUUGGUUAUUUAAAUGUGUUAGUCAUAAUGUUAAUUCAUCUCACAAUCCUCCUCUAAGAGAUAACUACUUAUAAAUUUUGCCUCAUUCUCAAUAUAUUUUUCUGAGCAGCCAGUCAUUAGGGCCUUAGAAUUUACCAACAUAUAUUUUGAAAUGUGUAUGUUAAACUAAGUUGCUAAA
Molecule: long non-coding RNA, 693 nt
Filed under: Mustela putorius furo (domestic ferret)
Lineage: Eukaryota; Metazoa; Chordata; Mammalia; Carnivora; Mustelidae
Description: lncRNA (ENSMPUG00000024249.1)
Source: RNAcentral